CCUACGGGAGGCAGCAGUGAGGAAUAUUGGUCAAUGGGCGCAAGCCUGAACCAGCCAAGCAGCGUGAAGGAUGACGGCCCUAUGGGUUGUAAACUUCUUUUAUAAAGGAUUAAACUCAGGUACGCGUCUCUGUCUGAAUGUACUGUACGAAUAAGGAUCGGCUAACUCCGUGCCAGCAGCCGCGGUAAUACGGAGGAUACGAGCGUUAUCAGGAUUUAUUGGGUUUAAAGGGAGCGUAGGUGGGUGGAUAAGUUAGAUGUGAAAUCCAGCGGCUCAACCGUGGAAUUGCAUCUGAUACUGGCAGGCUUGAGUGCAGUUGAGGUAGGCGGAAUGCGUGGUGUAGCGGUGAAAUGCUUAGAGAUCACAAAGAACACCGAUUGCGAAGGCAGCUUACUAAGCUACUACUGACGUUGAGGCUCGAAAGUGUGGGUAUCAAACAGGAUUAGAUACCCGGGUAGUC
This 460-nucleotide ribosomal RNA is filed under the name uncultured bacterium. RNAcentral's name for it is "partial 16S ribosomal RNA". It matches the Rfam family "Bacterial small subunit ribosomal RNA", at positions 338 to 795 of the family's 1533-position model. The record is from RNAcentral.